ACCAAGCCGUCAAUCCCCGCAUCCAAAAUCUGCACAAUAAUGACACAUGAAAAGCUGAUAUCAUUUCCCGGAGAAGUGUACCGCACGAUAUCUUGCUAAAUACGACCGCCAACACCCAUUGGCCAAGUCAUGUCGUUUAAACCGGUCAAAUUUCUCCAGAAGAAUGCACGAGGUCCGCUUAUCGAGGACCCAUCCGGCCGUAACCCCGACAAGCAGAGGGACUAACUGUAUGGGUCCAAAUUUGACCAACCUCGACCUAUGAUGAGUACAACCAACGACCGAGUAACUUCGAGUUGGCGUCCAGAGGAAGACGUCCUUAAGGUAAAAGUAGAAAUUGCACGACCCUUGUAGAAAUGUAAGCCCAUUAGGAGACAUUGAGAAUAUUUUGUCGAAUAUUCCUUGUUGUAGAAAUGUAAGCCCAAAUUGAGAAUAUUUUGUUGGAUAUUCCUUGUAUUUUUAUUUCUUAUGAUUCUAAAUGUCUUCUUGCUAGUAUAUAAU
Molecule: long non-coding RNA, 498 nt
Filed under: Nicotiana benthamiana
Lineage: Eukaryota; Viridiplantae; Streptophyta; Magnoliopsida; Solanales; Solanaceae
Description: long non-coding RNA (NBEN_LNC032507)
Source: RNAcentral